This 466-nucleotide ribosomal RNA is filed under the name uncultured bacterium. RNAcentral describes it as "bacterial SSU rRNA". It matches the Rfam family "Bacterial small subunit ribosomal RNA", at positions 28 to 491 of the family's 1533-position model. The record is from RNAcentral.
GAUGAACGCUAGCGGCAGGCUUAACACAUGCAAGUCGAGGGGCAGCACGGGUAGCAAUACCUGGUGGCGACCGGCGCAAGGGUGCGUAACGCGUGAGCAACAUGCCCUAUACAGGGGGAUAAUCCAGGGAAACUUGGUCUAAUAUCCCAUAGUAUUUAGAGGAGGCAUCUUCUAUAAAUUAAAGCUUCGGUGGUAUAGGAUUGGCUCGCGUGACAUUAGCUAGAUGGUGAGGUAACGGCUCACCAUGGCAAUGAUGUCUAGGGGUUCUGAGAGGAAGGCCCCCCACACUGGGACUGAGACACGGCCCAGACUCCUACGGGAGGCAGCAGUGAGGAAUAUUGGACAAUGGAUGGAAAUCUGAUCCAGCCAUGCCGCGUGCAGGAAGACAGCCCUAUGGGUUGUAAACUGCUUUUAAUGGGAGCAAUAAGGUCUACGUGUAGACUGAUGAGAGUACCAUAUGAAUAGC